GCGCGGGACGUCGUUCUCCUGGUAGUACGCCAUCGCCUGCUGCUUCAGCUUCAGCAGGUCCCUAGAGAUCCCGCCGCUGCGGCCGCCGCCUUCGUCCCCCAUGAUGGAGAGUGUCGGGGUGUACGGCUUCUGUGGCUGCAAAGGGAAGAGCAAAGUGAAGUGCGACUCCAGGUGGGAAAUAGCAGCAGCAGGGCUCUGCAGCUCAAGUUGGAUGCUGGAUAUCACAUGGCUUCCACGGAGUGAAGCUAAGACCUGAGCCCUUGUAGCAUGGGUCAAGUCCACCACUGGCUGCUCUCAGUUAGACCUCCAGAAGACGUCCCGCCUCCUCUUAUGAACAGCCACCACGCUGAUGGGCUGUGGAUUGGGCUUUCAGUCUGUGUCCUCUCUGAAUGGUGAGCUCCUUGGUCCAGGUGACACUCAUUUCCCCGUGUGUUCUCAAGGACUGAAAUACCACAGAGACUCCUACUGUUAGUUGAAUUUAAUAAAGUUCAAGCUAAAUGUUUAUGCACAUGCAUGCGUAUAUUUUU
Molecule: long non-coding RNA, 527 nt
Organism: Rattus rattus (black rat)
Lineage: Eukaryota; Metazoa; Chordata; Mammalia; Rodentia; Muridae
Exons: 3
Source: RefSeq, a predicted model, not a curated record